GACGAACCGAGCGAACGUUGUUCGGAAUCACUGGGCUUAAAGGGCGCGUAGGCGGGCUGCCGCGUCCGGGGUGAAAUCCCACGGCUCAACCGUGGAACGGCCUCGGAUACGGGCGGCCUCGAGGGGGGUAGGGGCAUGCGGAACUGUGAGUGGAGCGGUGAAAUGCGUUGAUAUUCACAGGAACUCCGGUGGCGAAGGCGGCGUGCUGGACCCCAUCUGACGCUGAGGCGCGAAAGCCAGGGGAGCAAACGGG
RNAcentral lists this ribosomal RNA (253 nucleotides) under uncultured bacterium. RNAcentral's name for it is "partial 16S ribosomal RNA". It matches the Rfam family "Bacterial small subunit ribosomal RNA", at positions 524 to 776 of the family's 1533-position model. The record is from RNAcentral.